GACUUACGAUAUUUAAACAUGAGGCUCCACAUGACAUUUCCAACGACAAGUCCAAAACUGUAGCCUAUUACUACUGAUUCCCAGGAAAAUCCACUAAAAAAAUAUGACUCGCCUUCUUCUGCAGACUCCAAUGGAUGAGGAACAUGUGAUGAAUCACUCGUUCCACAUUGCUUUGAUAAAGGAAGACCACAUAAAUCAAGGUUUCCGCCAUACGAAUCAUUUUCGAAUGUGUUGAACUGUAGACCGUGAGGAAUUGGUCCGACAAGAUGAUUUUGAGAGACGUUUAUGAAGGCCAGAAAGUUCAUUCUUGUCAAUUUCUGCAGAAUCUUUCCAGUGAGCCAAUUCCAGGAGAGAUCUAAAGCUUCAAGCGUAUUCAAUUGCCCCAGUUCCAUUGGAAUAUGACCUAUGAGAUUGUUAUGGGAUAAAUUGAGUAGCCAAAGUGAGCUGAGAUCCUUUAGUGUUUUCGGAAUGACACCUUCAAAAUGGUUGCUUGAGAGAUCUAUGGUUGUCAUAAUUGUGUUGAUUCUUUGUAGCUCAAUAUCAUGCCCUUUGAUUACCAAACUCAAUGAAUCCUCAUACGAAACUGUAGUUACUGAAAUUGUUGCGUGAUAAAUCUAAUAAGAUAAGCGAACUCAUGUUACAAAUGGAUGAAGGUAGUGGACCCAGAAGGGAGAUCAAGAUAUCCUAGAUUAUGGAAAUGCAAUUGUGGUAGGUAACCUGUCAAAAGAUUAUGUGAAAUAUUUAGGUACCACAAGUUGUCCCACCUCAUGCCACAAUUAUGUGAAAUUGUUCCUUCUUAAAAAAAUCUUUGAAUCGUAUGCUUUUAAAAUGAUUUUUAAACAUGUCACGUGGAAUAUUGAAAUUUAAAAUUCAAAAUAAAAAAUUAUAUAUAAGUAAAGAAGAAUUUUAAUGAUAUAAUAUUAAAUUAAAGUUAUAUAAAAAGACAUAUCAAAAUAUCUUUUAAUGUUGUAGUCUUAAACAUAUAUUAUGUGAAACGUUGAAAUAAAAAGAUGUUCAAAAUGAAAAAAAAUAUUCUUUUUGAGACAAAUUAAAGUACAAUAAAUAAAUUAAAAUUAUAAAAAUAUUUCAAAAAAAUAAUAAAACAAACAAAUUAUAAUCAAAGCUUUGAACGGCCUUAACCAGACCAAGAUACUUUAAUUGUUUUCAGAGUGUCCAAACUAAAAUUAGGAAAAGAAAAUAGGAAUGUCAUUUUUCUGACAGGUGAGUUGACUAUUUGUGGGGCAAUAUUUUUAACCAAUUAUAUUUUGCCAUGUGGUCAAAUUAUGUAAAGUUUUAAUUUAUCUUUCUUAAUUUUUAAAUAAUUUGAUUAUAUUUUUCUCUUUGUUAAAUUAAAUUUUGGGAAUAAGUCUAUUUUAGUCCAUCAAAAAUAACUUUGACAUGUAGUUUUGCAGAUAGUAGAGAUCCAGAUGAAACUGAAUCACAGGUCUUGAAUUCGAACCUGAAAAAUAAAAAAAAAUUCUUAUAUAGAGCGUUUUGCCCUUUAAAAAAAAACCUUUCCCUCAUUGAUAAUCAAACAAUAUGAAUUAGUUGUUAAACAACCAGAGACGUAACUUUCGUUCACGAAGUAUAAAUAUAUGUAGAAAAAUUGCCAAAAUCAAAAUCACGGAAGUUGAUACUGAGUUAGAGAACAUUUUAAGGCUGAUUUAUGUUUAGAAAGAUGCAGAACCACAAAAUUAUUAGCCAAUUCUGUAGUUUUGAGUACUCUUCUGCAUCAAAUUUUUAAAAAAUUAACUUUCUAAUAUUAAGUGAUUUCAAUCAUAAACCAAACUGAUCUAUUUGAUUACUGCUUUGCUUUUUCCUGUUUUGUUAUGCUGAUGAGUCAUGUUGCUCCGAAUCUCCUAAAAUAUAAUGACACCAAUGUUGGUUACUUAAAAUUGCACUACUUUUGAAGAAUCCAACACGCCCCGUUGACAUUUUUGAAGAGUUUGAGUAACAUAGCUAAUGAGCGGCUGUGUAGAUCACUUCUAUCAACUUAAAACAAAAACAAACUAACAUAACUUGAAUAACCAUUGAAAUUAAAAUAACACACAUAUAAUUAUGUUUCUAUCAAACAAAUACAAACAACAAACAGAAAAUUGAAAAGACAAAAAAAGAACCAGAAAAGUUCACUAAUUAUUCCACAAAAUCAAACAAAGACAAGUUGGCCCUCUCAAUCUUCCAUUAAGUCCGUCGUCUCUGAGCUCUCUUCUUUGGCCUCCUUCUUCUUUUGCGAGGCAUGAGUCCAUCGAAAAAUUCCACAAACCAUUUUGGCUUACGAUAUUUAAACAUGAGACUCCACAUGACAGUUCCAACAACUAGUCCAAAACUGUAGCCUAUGACUACUGAUUCCCACGUAAAUCCACUAAAAAAAUAUGACUCGCCUUCUUCUUCGGACUCCAAUUGUUGAGGAACAUGCGAUGAAUCACUCGUUNNNNNNNNNNNNNNNNNNNNNNNNNNNNNNNNNNNNNNNNNNNNNNNNNNNNNNNNNNNNNNNNNNNNNNNNNNNNNNNNNNNNNNNNNNNNNNNNNNNNNNNNNNNNNNNNNNNNNNNNNNNNNNNNNNNNNNNNNNNNNNNNNNNNNNNNNNNNNNNNNNNNNNNNNNNNNGUUUAAGACUGCCAGAAAGUUCAUUCUUGUCAAUUCCUGUGGAAUCUUUCCAGUGAGCCGAUUCCAAGAGAGAUCUAAAGCUUCAAGCAUACUCAAUUGUCCUAGUUUCAUUGGAAUAUCGCCUCUGAGAUUGUUACUGGAUAAAUUGAGUAGCCAAAGUGAGCUGAGAUCCUUUAGUGUUUUCGGAAUCACACCUUCAAAAUGAUUGCUUGAGAGAUCUAUGGUUGUCAUAAUUGUGUUGAUUCUUUGUAGCUCAAUAUCCUGCCCUUUGAUUACCAAACUCACUGAAUCCUCAUAGGAUGUGACAAAUUGCGAAUUCAACAUAGAUUCCAUGUACAUGAAAUUUCCUGCGUCCUCACCAUCUAAUUUGAUCAUUGCCUUGAAGUUUCCAAAAACUUUUGCAGGAAGUGAGCCACUGAAAUCAUUACGAGAAAGAUCAAAAAUUCGCAACUUGGGAAAGCAAAACUUAGUCUGACACGUACUUAUAGGUCCAUGGAACUUGUUCGACUUUAAUAUAAGGACCUGCAGCUCUUGAAGAGUUCCGAGCCAAGCUGGAAACGUGUCAUUUAUAGCAUUGUUCCCUACAUCAAGGACUUGUAGACCAUUACAAUUGAGCAACGACACAGGAACAGGUCCUUCAAAUCGAUUACCAUUUACGACAAUGGUACUCAAUAAAGUGCUCUGUGCACAUAAAUGGGGAAGACUCCCUGUGAAAUUGUUCCUUCUUAAGUCUAGCACCGUUAGACUAGCCAUGCUUCCCAAGCAAUGUGGAACUGAGUCACUGAAGUUGUUGCGUGAUAAAUCUAAUAAGAUAAGCGAACUCAUGUUACAAAUGGAUGAAGGUAGUGUACCCUGAAGGAAGUUAAAUUUCAGAUCAAGAAACUGUAGGUUAUAGUAAUGAAAUUGUGAUAGGUGGCCUGUCAAUGAAUUAUGAGAAAGGUUUAGGAACUGCAACGAGUCCCACCUCAUGCCGCUAAACCAGUCAGGAAUUUGACCACGAAUCUUAUUGUUAGAAAUAUCCAAGUACACCAGUGUCUUUACAUUUCUCAAGAAGUAUGGAAAAUCCUUCAGUUGACAAGAUGAUAAGAAUAAAGAUGAUAGGUUAAGAAAGGUGAUAUUCAUUCCCUCAUCAAUGGUGAUGUUAUUUGAUGAAAUGUCAAGGGUUUUAAGGUUUGU
Molecule: long non-coding RNA, 3780 nt
Filed under: Solanum tuberosum (potato)
Lineage: Eukaryota; Viridiplantae; Streptophyta; Magnoliopsida; Solanales; Solanaceae
Description: long non-coding RNA (STUB_LNC009331)
Source: RNAcentral